GUCAUGCAGUUGACGAGAUAAGUUGUAGCAAUACGGCUUUGAAAGUGGCGCACGGGUGCGUAACACGUAUGCAACCUACCUUUUACUGGGGAAUAGCCUCUCGAAAGAGAGAUUAAUACCCCAUGAUAUGUUUCUAAGGCAUCUUAGAGAUCUUAAAGCUCCGGCGGUAAAAGAUGGGCAUGCGGUUGAUUAGCUAGUUGGUGAGGUAAUGGCUCACCAAGGCUUCGAUCAAUAGGGGGUCUGAGAGGAUGUCCCCCCACACUGGUACUGAGACACGGACCAGACUCCUACGGGAGGCAGCAGUAGGGAAUAUUGGACAAUGGGCGCAAGCCUGAUCCAGCCAUGCCGCGUGCAGGAUGAAGGCCCUAUGGGUCGUAAACUGCUUUUGUACGGGAAGAAACCUCACUACGUGUAGUGAGUUGACGGUACCGUGAGAAUAAGGAUCGGCUAACUUCGUGCCAGCAGCCGCGGUAAUACGAAGGAUCCAAGCGUUGUCCGGAUUUACUGGGUUUAAAGGGUGCGUAGGCGGACUUUUAAGUCAGUGGUGAAAGCUUGCAGCUUAACUGUAAGAUUGCCAUUGAAACUGAAAGUCUCGAGUGUGGUUGAGGUAACUGGAAUAUAUCAUGUAGCGGUGAAAUGCUUAGAUAUGAUAUAGAACACCAAUUGCGAAGGCAGGUUACUGAGCCACAACUGACGCUGAGGCACGAAAGCGUGGGGAUCAAACAGGAUUAGAUACCCUGGUAGUCCACGCCGUAAACGUUGAAUACUCGAUCUUAGCGAUACACAGUUAGGAUCCCAGCGAAAGCGUUAAGUAUUCCACCUGGGAAGUACGUU
This 834-nucleotide ribosomal RNA is filed under the name uncultured bacterium. Its description in RNAcentral is "bacterial SSU rRNA". It matches the Rfam family "Bacterial small subunit ribosomal RNA", at positions 52 to 886 of the family's 1533-position model. The record is from RNAcentral.